GGGAGUGACUUGGCUUCGACAGGAGCAGGUUCGGUUUGAUUGCAUGCCGCUUUGAACAGAGCGUAAAAAGUUCAUAAAUUUAGACGCAAAUAACAAAAAUUUCGCUCCCGCUUACGCUAAAAUCGCGUAAGUUUUAUCCUUAAAGGGAGGCUUUGCUCCGUGGACGCUAUCUAAGCGGAUUUAGCGAAGCUCAAAACCAGAUAGCUCAAGCAGGCCACUUAACUGACGGCUCGCCGAAAUUUAAGUUUGCGCUUUUGUGUAACCUUCGCGGAUUGAGUGAAGCAAAAGUAAAGACAAAAUCAAUCCCUCUAAGCAUGUAGACGUCAUCUCGCGGCUUGUUUUUGGACAGGGGUUCGAUUCCCCUCACUUCCACCA
This 375-nucleotide transfer-messenger RNA is filed under the name Campylobacteraceae bacterium. It matches the Rfam family "transfer-messenger RNA". Rfam says of the family: Bacterial tmRNA, also known as 10Sa RNA or SsrA, is named for its dual tRNA and mRNA-like properties. Its role is to liberate the mRNA from a stalled ribosome. Lineage: Bacteria; Pseudomonadati; Campylobacterota; Epsilonproteobacteria; Campylobacterales; Campylobacteraceae. The record is from RNAcentral.